GGAAGGCAGGCGCGCAACUUACCCACUCCCGGCUCGGGGAGGUAGUGACGAAAAAUGCCUCGUCGGGAAUAGUACUAGCUCCCGUUGCAGGAAUGAGGGCGCACCAAACACGCGCCCCAAACCGAUUGGAGGGCAAGACUGGUGCCAGCAGCAGCGGUAACUCCAGCUCCAAUAGCGUAUAUUAAAGUUGCUGCGGUUAAAAAGCUCGUAGUUGAAUCUCUGUCCCGUCCGCCCGUCCAUCGGCCCCCCGUUGGGGCAACUAACCCUAGGCGGGCGGCGGACAUAGGCGCCGUUUGCGCGGGGAGGAUGAUUGUCACCAGUGGCCUCCGCCCCGGCGUUCGGUGUCAGUUACUCUGGAMUAAAUGAUAGUGCUCAAGGCAUUUGACGUGGUUUGUGGUGCAUGGAAUAACCGAACAGGACCUCCGUCCUGUCAAGUGUUGGUCCGAAAGGCGAGGUGAUGAUUAAGAGGAGCGGACGGGGGCAUUCGUAGUGCGGCGCUAGGGGUGAAAUCCGGUGACCGUCGCACGACGAACUACUGCGAAAGCAUUUGCCAAGAAUGUUUCCUUUAACCAAGAACGAAAGUCAGAGGAUCGAAGGUGAUUAGAUACCGCCCUAGUUCUGACCUUAAACUAUGUCGACCAGCUAUCACCUUGCUUGAAUAUUGCGUAGCAGGUGGAAGCUUCCCCGGGAAACCAGAUUUUCUGGGAUCC
Molecule: ribosomal RNA, 710 nt
Filed under: Clitaetra episinoides
Lineage: Eukaryota; Metazoa; Arthropoda; Arachnida; Araneae; Nephilidae
Description: bacterial SSU rRNA
Rfam family: Eukaryotic small subunit ribosomal RNA
Source: RNAcentral